This 438-nucleotide long non-coding RNA is filed under the name Gossypium raimondii (Peruvian cotton). RNAcentral describes it as "long non-coding RNA (GRAI_LNC005608)". Lineage: Eukaryota; Viridiplantae; Streptophyta; Magnoliopsida; Malvales; Malvaceae. The record is from RNAcentral.
CCCAAAUUGGCCAACAUAUAUCGAAAUUAUGAUGAACUUCCAAACUGAAUUAACUAGCCUAAAAAGGUGAGUUGAUUCGGCUUUGGCUUAAUUUCUGGAGGUGUAGAAAAAAUAAAGAAAUUAAGGCUUCAAAUUGGCUAGCUAAGUGGAAUAAUGACAAGGUCGGUUUUUUAUGAGUAAUUGUGGCUUAAUUCCUAUGGCCUCUUAAAUCAUAUUAAUGGAAAUCAAAUGUAUUACUAUCCUUAAUAAGAUCUAAAGCAAGUUCUAGAGUAAUUGAUAGUCGAUAACAAUAAUCACACAUGAAUUAAUAAUAACCUCCCAAGUUGGCAUGGAUGUCCCAACUUACGCUCUAGGCUCAAAUUCCUCACAAGGACCACAUAAUUGAUCAAAUAAGCGACUAAAAAUCUCUUCAAUUUAAAACCACAAAAUCAAGUUUUU